GUAGGUGGCAAGCGUUGUCCGGAAUUAUUGGGGCGUAGAGCGCGCGCAGGCGGUUCUUUAAGUCUGAUGUGAAAGCCCACGGGCUCAACCGUGGGAGGGUCAUUGGAAACUGGAGAACUUGAGUACAGAAGAGGAAAGCGGAAUUCCACGUGUAGCGGUGAAAUGCGUAGAGAUGUGGAGGAACACCAGUGGCGAAGGCGGCUUUCUGGUCUGUAACUGACGCUGAGGCGCGAAAGCGUGGGGAGCAAACAGGAUUAGAUACCCUGGUAGUCCACGCCGUAAACGAUGAGUGCUAAGUGUUAGGGGGUUUCCGCCCCUUAGUGCUGCAGCUGACGCAUUAAGCACUCCGCCUGGGGAGUACGGCCGCAAAGGCUG
Molecule: ribosomal RNA, 375 nt
Filed under: uncultured organism
Description: partial 16S ribosomal RNA
Rfam family: Bacterial small subunit ribosomal RNA
Source: RNAcentral